RNAcentral lists this ribosomal RNA (253 nucleotides) under uncultured bacterium. RNAcentral describes it as "partial 16S ribosomal RNA". It matches the Rfam family "Bacterial small subunit ribosomal RNA", at positions 524 to 776 of the family's 1533-position model. The record is from RNAcentral.
UACGAAGGGGGCUAGCGUUGCUCGGAAUCACUGGGCGUAAAGGGCGCGUAGGCGGCUUGAUAAGCGUGCGGUGAAAGCCCGGGGCUCAACCCCGGGUCGGCCGUGCGAACUGUCGAGCUGGAGCACUGUAGAGGCAGGUGGAAUUCCGGGUGUAGCGGUGGAAUGCGUAGAGAUCCGGAAGAACACCGGUGGCGAAGGCGGCCUGCUGGGCAGUGGCUGACGCUGAGGCGCGACAGCGUGGGGAGCAAACAGG